This 464-nucleotide ribosomal RNA is filed under the name uncultured bacterium. RNAcentral describes it as "partial 16S ribosomal RNA". It matches the Rfam family "Bacterial small subunit ribosomal RNA", at positions 28 to 507 of the family's 1533-position model. The record is from RNAcentral.
GACGAACGCUGGCGGCGUGCUUAACACAUGCAAGUCGAACGGUAAGGCCCUUUCUGGGGUACACGAGUGGCGAACGGGUGAGUAACACGUGGGUGAUCUGCCCUGCACUUUGGGAUAAGCCUGGGAAACUGGGUCUAAUACCGGAUAGGACUACGCGAUGCAUGUCGUGUGGUGGAAAGCUUUUGCGGUGUGGGAUGGGCCCGCGGCCUAUCAGCUUGUUGGUGGGGUGAUGGCCUACCAAGGCGACGACGGGUAGGCGGCCUGAGAGGGUGUCCGGCCACACUGGGACUGAGAUACGGCCCAGCCUACUACGGGAGGCAGCAGUGGGGAAUAUUGCACAAUGGGCGCAAGCCUGAUGCAGCGACGCCGCGUGGGGGAUGACGGCCUUCGGGUUGUAAACCCCUUUCAGCACAGACGAAGCGUAAGUGACGGUAUGUGCAGAAGAAGCACCGGCCAACUACGUA